This 484-nucleotide ribosomal RNA is filed under the name uncultured bacterium. RNAcentral's name for it is "partial 16S ribosomal RNA". It matches the Rfam family "Bacterial small subunit ribosomal RNA", at positions 29 to 523 of the family's 1533-position model. The record is from RNAcentral.
AGUGAACGCUGGCGGCGUGCUUAACACAUGCAAGUCGAACGAGAACGGGUUAUAGCUUGCUAUAAUUGUCAGCUAAGUGGCACACGGGUGAGUAAUGUAUAGGUAAUAUGCCUCUUACUAAGGGAUAACAAAUGGAAACGUUUGCUAAUACCUUAUACUCCUUAUUAACAGAAGUUAAUAAGGGAAAGAUUUAUUGGUAAGAGAUUAGCCUGUAUUGUAUCAGUUAGUUGGUGGGGUAAUGGCUUACCAAGACUAUGACACAUAACUGGUUUGAGAGGAUCAUCAGUCACACUGGAACUGAGACACGGUCCAGACUCCUACGGGAGGCAGCAGUGGGGAAUAUUGCACAAUGGACGAAAGUCUGAUGCAGCAACGCCGCGUGGAGGAUGACACAUUUCGGUGCGUAAACUCCUUUUAUAUGAGAAGAUAAUGACGGUAUUAUAUGAAUAAGCACCGGCUAACUCCGUGCCAGCAGCCGCCGUAA